UGCAAGUCGUACGAGAACACCCUAGCUUGCUAGGGUAAGUAAAGUGGCGCACGGGUGAGUAACGCGUGGGUAAUCUACCUUCGAAUUGGGGAUAACGUUGCGAAAGCGACGCUAAUACCGAAUAACAUCCAUUAAUCUUCGGGUUUUUGGAUCAAGGGUGGCCUCUACAUGUAAGCUACUGUUUGAAGAUGAGCCCGCGUACCAUUAGCUUGUUGGUGGGGUAAUGGCCUACCAAGGCAGCGAUGGUUAGCUGGUCUGAGAGGAUGAUCAGCCACACUGGAACUGACACACGGUCCAGACUCCUACGGGAGGCAGCAGUGAGGAAUUUUGCGCAAUGGGGGAAACCCUGACGCAGCAACGCCGCGUGAGUGAUGAAGGCUUUCGGGUCGUAAAGCUCUGUCAAGUGGGAAGAACCUGCAGUAUGCUAAUAUCAUAUUCACUGACGGUACCACUGAAGGAAGCACCGGCUAACUCCGUG
Molecule: ribosomal RNA, 478 nt
Filed under: uncultured bacterium
Lineage: Bacteria
Description: bacterial SSU rRNA
Rfam family: Bacterial small subunit ribosomal RNA
Source: RNAcentral